Zonotrichia leucophrys gambelii is the source of this 1832-nucleotide long non-coding RNA. RefSeq lists it as uncharacterized. The transcript is spliced from 4 exons. NCBI's taxonomy places the organism in Eukaryota, Metazoa, Chordata, Aves, Passeriformes, Passerellidae. The record is from RefSeq and is a predicted model, not a curated record.
AGCCCCUGGUGCCGGCGCGGCGUGUGACGCAACGGCCCACGCGGCCCGGCAUUUUUCUCUAAAUCGGCAGUAAAUAUAGCUGAGUAAAAUUACCUUCGUUUUCUUCCUUCUUUUUUAACGGAAUUGUUUUUAUUAAAAAUCCUAUUUAAAUAUGCAGAAAAAGUGGGUAUGUCCUGUAAUAUAUCCUAGCUUUUCUUGUUUACAGGGUACUCAGAAAAUAUGUCUCCCUUAGAGUCCCACAGAAACGUUCUCAGUGCGAUCUCUAUCAAGUGCUAUGAGUCUUGAUAAAUUGGAGAAGAGCCCAAGAGAAAUUUUUCCUCCCUUGAUAUAAAAGGGAUCGGUGAAUUUUAACUUUGGAGUCCUCUGUGCUAAGGAUGCUCAGCUUACAGAUGAUGAAAUGUUCAGUAACGUAUUUGCUGGAGCUCUGCUUACCGAAGCUUUGGGUAAAACAAGCUUUGGGUUCCUUCUGUCCCACUGGGAGUUGCCCGAUUUGGUUGCAUCUGGUGAAAUUCACCCUGAGACCUUGGAGAACCAGCUCAAACUACGUGAGAGCCAUUUGCAGUUCUCUCCAGACACCUGGAGAAUGGGUGAUGCUUCUGAGGAUCUGGCAAGUGUACUUCUAUCAAAACUCAGUCUGUGAAAUUUCUGGGGAAAACCCUUCUGUGUACCGAAGGGUUCAAACUCUGGUGAGGAUCCAGUUAUCAGGUGCUCACCUGCAUGGUUCCAGCUCUUAAAGCGAACACUUGUACUCUUGCCCUGUAGUUUAUAUCUAUUGUAUUUUUGUUAUUUUGCAAGAUUUUACGCCUUUGCAAAAUAUUGUGCAUUUGACUCUUUGGAACCUGUCAGAUCGUUCUUUGGUGCAGCACCACCUCAUGGGACACUUGGCUGCUGUCCUGAAGGGGUUGGUCGUAAAUCCUGGAGGGUUUAUAAGUCUUCUGUCCCCAGGGAGCUAUCGUGCUUUGUUUGCUUUUGUUCUGUUUGUUAGGCGCUGCUUCUCAUUGGAAGUAUGAAUUUCAAACUACCCUGUUCUUUUUUUAACUGUUUUCCUGGUUCUCUCCCUACGGCAGGGAAAGACUCUCGUAUCCUUGUCGUCAGGCUCGGUGCUGUCCAAGAAGAUACAGAGACUAAAACAAUCAUAAGAAGCAAAAUAUGACUGCAGGGAAAACAAGCUGGAGAGAACAAAAGGUGGUAUUGUUAUCCUUACCCUCUAUUAGAAACAUCCACUGUGCUUUGAUGUGGUAGCUGCCAGGGGCUUGUUAGCUCUUUGUAGGCAGGUGUGGGUGUUCACUUGUAGGUUUUUUCUCUGGACAAGUCAAUUCAAUCUUUGCUAAGCUUAUAUUUGCAGAUUACUCUCUAGCGCAGUCCAGCAUGACAUUUUUGAAUGUUUUAAAAAGAAACUAUGUUACUUGGAAAUUGCUAAUGAUGAGAAGCUUUAGGGAAAAAUAAGAUUUCAGGGUUGGGAGAUGUGAGAAGAAUUUUGUGGGGAUGUUAGACUGAAAUAAAGUGCACUUGAAGCUGGACUGGCACGCUGGCAGAUCCCCUAUUAAAGAGUAGUGCUUAAAUUAGCCUGGGGGUUGCCCAUUGUUUCUGUAGAAAUCAAUGUUUCCUGGUCUUCAGAAGUAAGCUGCAGCAGAGCAGUUCCAGUCCGUCCGGGUACGUGUAAUCCAGCUCCUGACGAUCUGAGCACACGGAGCAGCGCUCAGCUGCUGUGGGGGCUCAGGGAAGGCAGAGUGUGCAUUGUCAUCUUCCUGAACCUACGGACAAAUCAAAGUGAGAAGCCACAGGGUGGAAAUCACUCGCAUAUAUGCUAAAUAAAACUUGCAGAUUUUUUU